GCCGGUUUAGCUCAGUUGGUAGAGCAGCUGAUUUGUAAUCAGCAGGUCGUCGGUUCGAGUCCGACAACCGGCUCCA
This 76-nucleotide transfer RNA is filed under the name Phragmitibacter flavus. Its description in RNAcentral is "Verrucobacter flavum tRNA-Thr". It matches the Rfam family "tRNA". From Rfam's summary of the family: Transfer RNA (tRNA) molecules are approximately 80 nucleotides in length. Lineage: Bacteria; Pseudomonadati; Verrucomicrobiota; Verrucomicrobiia; Verrucomicrobiales; Verrucomicrobiaceae. The record is from RNAcentral.